Molecule: long non-coding RNA, 768 nt
Organism: Phycodurus eques (leafy seadragon)
Lineage: Eukaryota; Metazoa; Chordata; Actinopteri; Syngnathiformes; Syngnathidae
Exons: 5
Source: RefSeq, a predicted model, not a curated record
CUUCCUUCUUGCCUGAGCUCGUUGUGUCACACAUCUUGCACGUGUCGUCGUGCAGUUGAAUUCGAGAUGGUUUCCCAGUGGACCGAAGGCAGAGCAGUAGACGUGGGAUGAACGAAGCAAGCGACUUGGUGUCCUUGCAAUUGGCAGAUGACCAUGUCAUAUCAUCAGCACUGAUCCCAUGGUAACUGAAGUGAUAUGGGAAGCAGUAGAUGGGCUAUGGACGGAUGCUAUGAGUCUAGACUGACUUGAGUAACUUGGGGCCCUGGCGAUGACUGGAGACCUGUGUGCCCUCCUCAAGAUGCGACUGGGUUUCAGCAUUGGAGUCAUGCUUAAAUGUUUAAAGCAAAAAAUGUGAUUGAUAGCCAAUGAAAAAUUGUUACUUUGCAGAGUUUUACAGCAACAAUACAAAGUCUUAGACAAGUUUACUGGUGAAGACAAUUUGUCAAGGAAAAAAGAGAUUGUGGCUUUCACAGAACAACACCAAGAAACUGAAAGGCUAUUUUUUUUAGUAUGCCUGUCAUCCAUAUCACCAUUUAAUUCUCGUCAGUAACAGAUUUAUAAAGUAUGGUGAUUGGUGCCGUGGUAUUAACCUGCAUACCCGUCAGAACUGUUGGAUUCUUGUGAAACAUUAUUUUUUUUUUUUGCUUUAAUCAGUUUGGCGGUGCGAGAUGGUUGAAUUGUAGAGGAAAGGAUGUCCUUGUACUGUCUUUGCAAGAUUGGAAAAUGUUAUAACAUAGCUGAUUUCUAUUAAACAGAAAACAAACACUA